Jaculus jaculus (lesser Egyptian jerboa) is the source of this 131-nucleotide small nucleolar RNA. The record is from Ensembl. NCBI's taxonomy places the organism in Eukaryota, Metazoa, Chordata, Mammalia, Rodentia, Dipodidae.
UGACCAGCUAAUUAAUCUGCUUAUUGGAAUGUGUUUCCACAGAAAUUUAGGAACAGCUGGCAAUAUUGAUGCCAUUUUAAGAGACAUAUAGACAUCUGAGGUUAUUACUGUCCCUCAAAAUGGCUACAAUA